This 64-nucleotide transfer RNA is filed under the name Ziczacella heptapotamica. RNAcentral describes it as "tRNA-Trp". Lineage: Eukaryota; Metazoa; Arthropoda; Insecta; Hemiptera; Cicadellidae. The record is from RNAcentral.
AAGAUUUUAAGUUAAUUAAACUAUUAACCUUCAAAGUUAAAAAUACCCACAUAAGUAAAUCUUA